Molecule: long non-coding RNA, 4233 nt
Filed under: Olea europaea subsp. europaea
Lineage: Eukaryota; Viridiplantae; Streptophyta; Magnoliopsida; Lamiales; Oleaceae
Source: RNAcentral
UUAAUUAGUUUCAUGGUCCUUUAGGACUAAGCAUUGGUCAUCGUUUCUAUUACUGCUGCUGCGAAAAGAUUCUUGACUAUUGGAUAUGGUACCUUGUGGAGGUCUCUCUAAGAAGUGCUUAUUUUGGUUGCACGGUAAUUCCAAAUCUUCAAAGUUGGUAGAAUGGGCUGUUAUGAAUAUAAAGGUUUAAAGAGAAGGUUGGUAUACAGUGUUCAUAUUUACAAGAUACUUUUUAUGGUUAAAAUUAAAUUCGUAGAAGUCUAUUUCAUCAAGCACAUAUAUUAUCACAAAUAAUCUUAUUGAAGCUAAAGGGAAAAAAAAAAAAAAAAAACAUCUAAGCUUUUGAAUAUGGCAUGCUUGGUACUUCAGACCACAUGCAAGUGCAAGGAUCAAAUACUUCAGCUGACUGAAGAGGACUCAAUCCACCUCGUCCACGAGUAGCACCUCCAACAGCGUAAAGUUUAUUGUUCGAGACACUAGUCUUACAAUAUGCUCUGGCAAUAGACAUAGGAGUCACUUCACUCCAACAAUUUACAAUUGGAUCAUAAUGCCAGAUGCAGUUCAGGGCCGCAGCCCCACAAAAUCCACCCAAGACAUAGAGGCAGCCAUCAACAGAUCCAAUUGAACAACCACAGCAUCUAAUCUUGUCAAAUGCAUUCUUUGUUCCAAACCAUUCCCUAAUAGAAUCCUCAAUUUUAAUAUUUGAAGCAACCACAUUCCACAGACGAAUGCUCGAUAAGCCCCUUCUAGUUCCAUCUUCAACAGAAACUUUUGGCACUGGAGGCAACCUUUGCCAUGUCCUUGACACUAUUAUGCUUUUAAUUGAUAUUGCAGAUUACUUUUUUAACAUGUGAUAUUUUUACAUAUUCAUAUUGUGAUGAAAUAUUGAAUAUUUUGAAUUUGUUAAAUUCUCUAACCUUAAUUUCUUUUGACAUUGCAAAAUUUUAUUCUAUCUCUAGGGAUUUUAUUUCGAACCAGCUGAUAACGCAAUAUAUUUUAUAUGGUGUUUCUUUAUACUUGUAAGAUAUUUGUUAAGUUUCAAAAAUAAUUUUAUUUAUCUUUUAUAUUCAUGUUGUAUACUUAGAAGUCAAUUAAAAAAUCUUCUAAAAGUUCUAAACAUCGAAGUACUGCGAUUGUUGUAGCAAUUCCAUAGACCAAUAAAAGACUAAGAGUUUCUAGUGAAGCAGAAAAUACUAUAUCUACUCCAAUUAUCGAUGAGUAAAACCCAUCCCGUCAAAUGCAAAUGCUCCUAAGAAGAAAAGAGGUCCAACCCAAGUGAUGGUUCCUGAACAUAAUUAUAAGAAAAUAGAACUUGAACUCAAUGAAUUUGGGCAAGUAGUUGUCGGUAACUCCGAUAAAUUUGCUAUUGUUGUUGGAGCCAUGGUACGAGAACAUGUACCUAUUACAAUUAAAGACUGGCAUUCAGUGGAUGAAAAGAAAAAAAUGGAACUUUGGACUUUCAUACAGGUACAUCUCUUAACUAACUUUUUACGAUUUUUUGACACCAUUCUUUUAAGUUAUAAAAUAUAUUUGUGCACAGAUGUAGCAAAGGUUCGAUAUCAAUGAUUGUCAUAAAAUAAUGACAUUUCAAUAUAUGGGAAAGUAUUAGAUGACAUUCAAAUCACAAAUUGAGAAAAGAAAUCAGAACUGAAAUAGCAACAUCUGUUAAUAGAACACGAACCAUUGCCCUCCUUGGACCAAAGAAUGUAAAUCAUGAAGAAGCAAUGGAAAAGUUUCUCAAAGAUACUCUUUCUGUUGACUUCGAAGUAAGAAAUAUUUGCUUAUUAAUGUUAAAUUUUUAUUUAGUUGUUUCUAUUUUUAUUGUUUUGUUUUCUUAAUGGGAAAAAAGUUCCAAGUUCGGGAAAAUGAGAAAGGGUCAAAAGCUUCCUCACACUUUGGGUCGAAAUGCUUUUUCACGUACGGCUCAUGAGAUGGUACAAUUACACACCUAUCUUGUCUGGUUAGGAAUGGAGUUUCAUUUCUUCUUAGUUAUAGGUAUUACACACCAUUGUUGAUUUCCUUCAAGUAUUCAUUACGUAAUUACUGGAUUUAUAUUGUAGAGAAAAAAGAAUCCGGGCUUAAAGGGGUUAAGAACUAGAGUAUGGAUGCAUGGACAUCUUAGAAAUGAUGGUAAACCGAUAAAUGAAGCAGUCACCGCAACUUUGGCACAUGUAUUCUUUCAAUGUAUAUGAUUUAUUAUACGUAUUCAAAGCUAGUAUCUAAUCUGAGUUCCAUAAGUGCAGAAAAGGAUAGAAGAUUGUGCCCAAUCAAUUUCUGAUACACCAGCAGAAAAUUCCAUCCACAAUGAUGCUGUUGCUCGAAUUUUAGGUCCUGAACAUCGUGAAAGAGUUAGAGGACUUGGAUUUGUAGUUUCACCAUCGAAAGUGGAUGGACAAUUCAAAUUAAUGGGAGAGUGAGAGAACUUGAUGAAAAGGUUGGAGCACUAGAAGAAAGGUUGAAGCACUUCUUAAAUUAUCUCAACAGGUUAUAAACUUUUAUCAUCAUAUAUAUACAAUGAUAAUAUAGCUUAGCAUAACUCAAUAUGGAGAAUAAUUUUUUAAUUUUUGUAUCAUUUACAGAAUCAAAACAAGAAUGUAGACGACUUGAGUUCACGUGCUUUUACUCAGGUUUUUGUAUCUUACAUAUUAUUUUGUAUUCACUAUAAACAUAGAAUAUAGCAUAUACUAAUUUAUUUUACUUUGAUUUUGUAGUCACAACAAGGAAGUGGUAUCUAUGGAGGGAUUGCACAUACGGAACAUGCAAGGUUUCAACUGUUGCAUUGGUGCAUAUUUAAAGAGGAAGAAAUUGUAGUUGAAGGAAGGAUUGCAUCAAUAGACCCAAGUGCAAAGGUCAUCACAUACCAAUCGGACGAGAUUGUUGGACUGUUUGGGUUGAGGAAGUGCAUAUGGGCCAUUUGAACUUAUGUAGACCUACUGAUGAAUUUUGAGUGCUUAGAGAAGCCAUAGGAAGUAUAGUUGUUUGGCUAAAGAGCAGUAUUAGACUUAUUUAACAAGGUAUGUAAUGCAUUUCUGCAUUUUUGUUUCUGUGUGUAAUAUCUGUACUUGCUAGGAAAAAAUGGUUUGAUGGAUGAAAAACAAGCACACUCCGGUGUGGUUUAGAGGCUUACUUGGGUGUAAGCCUCUGGAAAUUGAGGCAUAAGUCCUGACCAAUAGCACAUAAGGUGUAAAAUUUGGAGGGCAACCAAAAUAUGCUCAAUAUCUUUGUUGUUCACUUCACUCUUUCCUCUCAGAGUUUCUAGCAAAUAAUGUAUCAGAAGAUUACGAGAACCAUAUUUUGCACCCGUCAAAUCUUUAUUCAAGAAAAUAUUACCAACAUGUUAUACAUAUCAUUUAUUUCUCAACUAUGUGAUCCUAUAGUUAUAUUUUUUUCAUUAAUUUCUGAUGGAGUAAGAUUCUUGCAGUCAAUAAAUAAUGCUUUACAAAGUUAAUUUCUGUGUUCUGUGGAUGUACAAGUGUGCAUGCACAAAGCCUUGUACAAGCAGAAAUGUCCAUAUUUUCAUCCUUCCAUGUCAUUGCUGAUUUUCAAUGUCAAGUUUUUCCAAGUUCUGUUGGGUAUGGAUUGUUUUAAUGGAUUUAUUCUCUCUAAAAAUAGCUUACGUGGUAUCGUUUUGCUCAUUAAGAACUGAUUUACUACUUGCAAAAUUCAAGUAUAGCAGAUGAUUUUAUAAUCACCUAUCAUGACCGUGAAGCACAUAUCCUUUUUUUCUAAAUUGAGUUAGCCCUACCUUUGCAUCUCCAUGCAGCAAGAAUAGAUAAUAUGAUCAUGACUCGAAGUUGUAUGUGGUGUAGUUGGUUGCUUUUGUAUGUGGAAUAAUUCAUCUCAAGACUCAACCUCGUCAAAGAAAAAAACUUGGUGAAAGUCUUGGAAUUUUAGCAUGUAAGACGAUUUUACAUUCUGUGUUAAUGUCUAUGAAAUUCGAUUCUUUUCCUUCGAAUUGAUUAAAUGUGAUAUAGUUUACAAAAUCUAAUGGAAUGUAUGAUGGUGCUGGUGAAUUGUUUCAGGGAUGAACGUGGUUGGUGAAUGCUAGCUCCCGGGCUUUCGUUUUUGUAAAACUUGGUGAAAGUCCUUUGUAAAGUAUCCAAGCUCAACGAAUCAAUUAUCACAUGGCUAAGUUAGAGAUUCAUGGCCUUAUUUUGUAACUAGGAUUUAAGUUUUCUACAACUCAUAUCAUAUCCAUAUUUUGUAAUUGUGAGAAGAAUUACAAUAGUUAUC